GUGAGGAAUUUUGCGCAAUGGCCGCAAGGCUGACGCAGCAACGCCGCGUGGGUGAAGAAGGCCUUCGGGUCGUAAAGCCCUGUCAGGUGGGAAGAACACCAUGGGGACGAAUAAGCUUCAUGGCUGACGGUACCACCAGAGGAAGCACCGGCUAACUCCGUGCCAGCAGCCGCGGUAAUACGGAGGGUGCGAGCGUUAUUCGGAAUUACUGGGCGUAAAGCGCGUGCAGGCGGUUUGGCAAGUCUGAUGUGAAAGCCCCGGGCUUAACCUGGGAAGUGCAUUGGAAACUGCCGGACUUGAGGACUGGAGAGGAAGGGGGAAUUCCCGGUGUAGAGGUGAAAUUCGUAGAGAUCGGGAGGAAUACCAGUGGCGAAGGCGCCCUUCUGGACGGUUACUGACGCUGAGACGCGAAAGCGUGGGGAGCAAACAGGAUUAGAUACCCUGGUAGUCC
RNAcentral lists this ribosomal RNA (451 nucleotides) under uncultured bacterium. RNAcentral describes it as "partial 16S ribosomal RNA". It matches the Rfam family "Bacterial small subunit ribosomal RNA", at positions 354 to 796 of the family's 1533-position model. The record is from RNAcentral.